This is a long non-coding RNA of Eptesicus fuscus (big brown bat), 781 nucleotides long. RefSeq lists it as uncharacterized. The transcript is spliced from 2 exons. Lineage: Eukaryota; Metazoa; Chordata; Mammalia; Chiroptera; Vespertilionidae. The record is from RefSeq and is a predicted model, not a curated record.
UAUUGAAUUUUGAUUUGUCAAGGUUUUGUCAGUUUGUUAUCAGUUUGUUAAAAUCCUCUUAGAGGACAUGAGUGGUUCUUCCCUUCCAGUUUAACCUUUGACUGUGUGAUUGAAUUACGGAGCUUUUAUCAAGGUUUUGCCUCUCCUGAAACAACGCUCCAUGUGUAACCUGUCCCUCCCCGAGCCGGACUGCAGGAUGAUUUUUCCUUCAACACACUGGUCCCGCCCACUGGCCUAUGGCAGAAGCCAGAAAAAGCGACGAUAAGAAAGGGAGGCCCCCAUCAGGGGACUUAGAGGCAGUGUUCCUGUUAUCUGCUUAGAUCCCAAGAAUGGACAGGAAGAAACUGAAAGCUGGAAUUCAUAACCAUUCCCUUACUCAAGUCUUUACAGGCUGUGCAGUAUACCCAAAAAGCCACCCAUAAGCUUGUUCCUGUACAACCCUUCCAGCCCAAGGACUCGGUAUAGGUAAAGAAGUUCACUGCCCAAGGACUCACCCCAACCUGGAAGGGAUGCUACACUGUUAUCCUGAGCACGCCCACGGCUGUUGAAGUAGACGGCGUCCAGACCUGGCUACACCACUCCCAGCUCCUGCACCAGGAAACGGCCUAGAUCCUGGCAACCAGCGGCCUCACCCAUGAGAUCCCUAGCCUGGGCUCCACGCAGGCCAGGAGGAAACUCAACACCUGCAGGAGAAGAACUGGAAUUCACUGUGGACAGUACUGUUGGGGACUGUAGUACUAAAGGCCUUAACCAGAAGUAAAAGACAAAGUAAAAAUGCAAA